This 325-nucleotide unclassified non-coding RNA is filed under the name Hevea brasiliensis (rubber tree). Lineage: Eukaryota; Viridiplantae; Streptophyta; Magnoliopsida; Malpighiales; Euphorbiaceae. The record is from RNAcentral.
GUUACACUCUUGGUCCUGAUUUGAAUCACAGGCCUCAAAUACUCCUCGGGGAAGAGACCGGAGAUAAUCUAGAUUACCAGCUGCUGCAUUUAUUUCAACCAUCAACAUCUCAACAACACCAUUUUCAGCAAGAAACGCCUCUUCUAUGGCAGAGCGAAGAUCAGCAGGCGUGCUGUCGUUCAAGUCAGUCUGCCCCUGAAACCUGUCUACAUGUUCCUGAAAUGGAAAUAGCAUCCCGCGUCUAAUCCAUGCAUAGUCCCUUUGCGUUCCAUUUCCAGAGUAGCCAAAGAACAUGACACAUACUGUUCCAGCAACACGAUAAUUU